UGAGGAAUAUUGGUCAAUGGACGCAAGUCUGAACCAGCCAAGUAGCGUGCAGGAUGACGGCCCUCUGGGUUGUAAACUGCUUUUAUAUGGGGAUAAAGUGGGGAACGUGUUCCCUUUUGCAGGUACCAUAUGAAUAAGGACCGGCUAAUUCCGUGCCAGCAGCCGCGGUAAUACGGAAGGUUCGGGCGUUAUCCGGAUUUAUUGGGUUUAAAGGGAGCGUAGGCCGUUUGGUAAGCGUGUUGUGAAAGGUAGGAGCUCAACUUCUAGAUUGCAGCGCGAACUGUCAGACUUGAGUGCGCACAACGUAGGCAGAAUUCAUGGUGUAGCGGUGAAAUGCUUAGAUAUCAUGACGAACUCCGAUUGCGAAGGCAGCUUACGGGAGCGCAACUGACGCUGAAGCUCGAAGGUGCGGGUAUCGAACAGG
RNAcentral lists this ribosomal RNA (424 nucleotides) under Verrucomicrobiota bacterium. RNAcentral's name for it is "Verrucomicrobia bacterium partial 16S ribosomal RNA". It matches the Rfam family "Bacterial small subunit ribosomal RNA", at positions 355 to 776 of the family's 1533-position model. The record is from RNAcentral. Lineage: Bacteria; Pseudomonadati; Verrucomicrobiota.